CAAUAGCGUAUAUUAAAGUUGUUGCGGUUAAAAAGCUCGUAGUUGGAUUUCUGCUGAGAACGACCGGUCCGCCCUUUGGGUGUGUAUCUGGCUCUUUCUUGGCAUCUUCUUGGUGAACGUUGCUGCACUUGACUGUGUGGAGCGCUACCCAGGACUUUUACUUUGAGGAAAUUAGAGUGUUUCAAGCAGGCAUACGCCUUGAAUACAUUAGCAUGGAAUAAUAAGAUAGGACCUCGGUUCUAUUUUGUUGGUUUCUAGAGCUGAGGUAAUGAUUAAUAGGGAUAGUUGGGGGCAUUCGUAUUUAACUGUCAGAGGUGAAAUUCUCGGAUUUGUUAAAGACGGACUACUGCGAAAGCAUUUGCCAAGGAUGUUUUCAUUGA
This 380-nucleotide ribosomal RNA is filed under the name uncultured eukaryote. RNAcentral's name for it is "partial 18S ribosomal RNA". It matches the Rfam family "Eukaryotic small subunit ribosomal RNA", at positions 592 to 976 of the family's 1831-position model. The record is from RNAcentral.